This 235-nucleotide ribosomal RNA is filed under the name uncultured bacterium. RNAcentral's name for it is "partial 16S ribosomal RNA". It matches the Rfam family "Bacterial small subunit ribosomal RNA", at positions 99 to 334 of the family's 1533-position model. The record is from RNAcentral.
CGGACGGGUGAGUAACGCGUGGGUAACCUGCCUCACACUGGGGGACAACAGUUAGAAAUGACUGCUAAUACCGCAUAAGACCACAGCACCGCAUGGUGCAGGGGUAAAAACUCCGGUGGUAUGAGAUGGACCCGCGUCUGAUUAGCUAGUUGGUAAGGUAACGGCUUACCAAGGCGACGAUCAGUAGCCGACCUGAGAGGGUGACCGGCCACAUUGGGACUGAGACACGGCCCAA